AAAACCUAUGACAUCUUUACCACUUUUGCAUGCCUUCCAGUAAAAGCUUUGGGGGAAGAACAGGUGGGGGAGCCGUCGCUAUCGGGAUACGAUUGAAGCAAUUGAUUGUAAGGGCGUUUUAGCCAUUAUAAGUAGUAUAAAGCUAGCGUUCAAGUGCUAACAUAGGGUUUUUUUUCAUCCUCAAAUUGGCCAAGCCUUCUCGUUCGGAAAAGUACCCAGCGAGAGAUCAAAAGCAGAUAUGGCAACUGAGAAUGGAGGUCUUUUGCCUGAAGAUGUGAUCAUUAAGAUUCUCUCGUUGUUGCCUGUCAAUACUCGAUUGCAAUUCAAGUGUGUUUGCUAGUCAAGGUGCUUGAGUUGUGCCACGAUGAAUCACUCACAGACUUAUCAAGGCUGACUACGGUAGUUCUUCGAGAAGCAUCUAAACAAAAAUAACCAAAACAACUCUAUAUUAUUUUUAAUAUUUUAUGUUUAUACAUCAAGGAAAAGUACCCAGCGAGAGAUCAACAGCAGAUAUGGCAACUGCGAAUGGAGGUCUUUUGCCUAAACAUGUGAUCAUUAGUAUUGAAAUAACCUCAAAUACCUAAAGUAAAAACUUCUAUUGUCUAAAAAAACAAAAA
Molecule: long non-coding RNA, 617 nt
Organism: Populus trichocarpa (black cottonwood)
Lineage: Eukaryota; Viridiplantae; Streptophyta; Magnoliopsida; Malpighiales; Salicaceae
Exons: 3
Source: RefSeq, a predicted model, not a curated record